Molecule: ribosomal RNA, 269 nt
Filed under: uncultured prokaryote
Description: partial 16S ribosomal RNA
Rfam family: Bacterial small subunit ribosomal RNA
Source: RNAcentral
UACGGAGGAUCCGAGCGUUAUCCGGAUUUAUUGGGUUUAAAGGGUGCGCAGGCGGGAGAUUAAGUCGGCGGUGAAAUUUUGCAGCUCAACUGUAAAAGUGCCUUCGAAACUGGUUUCCUUGAGUGUAGAUGAAGUAGGCGGAAUUUGUGGUGUAGCGGUGAAAUGCUUAGAUAUCACGAGGAACUCCGAUUGCGCAGGCAGCUUACUAAACUACUACUGACGCUCAGGCACGAAGGCGUGGGGAUCAAACAGGAUUAGAUACCCCUGUA